This 459-nucleotide ribosomal RNA is filed under the name uncultured Barnesiella sp. Its description in RNAcentral is "bacterial SSU rRNA". It matches the Rfam family "Bacterial small subunit ribosomal RNA", at positions 338 to 795 of the family's 1533-position model. Lineage: Bacteria; Pseudomonadati; Bacteroidota; Bacteroidia; Bacteroidales; Barnesiellaceae. The record is from RNAcentral.
CCUACGGGCGGCAGCAGUGAGGAAUAUUGGUCAAUGGCCGGAAGGCUGAACCAGCCAAGUCGCGUGAGGGAUGACGGUCCUAUGGAUUGUAAACCUCUUUUGUCAGGGAGCAAAGGGCGUCACGUGUGGCGCUUUGCGAGUACCUGAAGAAAAAGCAUCGGCUAACUCCGUGCCAGCAGCCGCGGUAAUACGGAGGAUGCGAGCGUUAUCCGGAUUUAUUGGGUUUAAAGGGUGCGUAGGCGGAUUUUUAAGUCAGCGGUAAAAUGUCCGGGCUCAACCCGGGCCGGCCGUUGAAACUGGGGAUCUUGAGUGGGCGAGAAGUAUGCGGAAUGCGUGGUGUAGCGGUGAAAUGCAUAGAUAUCACGCAGAACUCCGAUUGCGAAGGCAGCAUACCGGCGCGCAACUGACGCUCAUGCACGAAAGUGUGGGUAUCGAACAGGAUUAGAUACCCUUGUAGUC